AGAUUCUUUAAAACAGUCCAGAGAGGCUGAGAAGGAUAACGGAUAGACGGGAUGCGUGUAUAGGCGCGCACCUUGUCCUAAAACCCCUCUAUGCUCUGGCAGGAGGGGUUUUUUCUU
Molecule: regulatory RNA element, 117 nt
Organism: Bacillus subtilis subsp. subtilis str. 168
Lineage: Bacteria; Bacillati; Bacillota; Bacilli; Caryophanales; Bacillaceae
Rfam family: PyrR binding site
About the family: This family represents the PyrR binding site and terminator structure.
Source: Rfam